RNAcentral lists this long non-coding RNA (483 nucleotides) under Vigna radiata. Its description in RNAcentral is "long non-coding RNA (VRAD_LNC017328)". Lineage: Eukaryota; Viridiplantae; Streptophyta; Magnoliopsida; Fabales; Fabaceae. The record is from RNAcentral.
GGAAAGACUGAAACAUGAUUGAUUUCAUGGUUGCUUAUGGUAGUUUCAAAUGUAGAAUCUCUUGGUGAGAUUCUUAGUGUUUUAAAAUGAAAGUAGGGGCUCAGCCUUAGGAGUCAUUCUGACGCUUCAAUGGUCAAUCAAACUCACUUAGAGAGGUUGAACCAUGUGGUGAGAAGUAGCAGGAGGUCCUUAGUCUUGGGGGCUCCCAGUAUGCCUCUUGGCGCGGAACGGACUAACCUCGUGAGUGUGGCAGGGUGGGGAACCCAAGUUUCAUAAGUCACCACGGGUGCAAGACUCGCCAUAGCUCGACUAUCAUUUUAAAGUCCGGACGAGUCAAGUCUAGAAAAUAACAUGCUUAGGUUGUGUUUCCUAACUGUUUUGUUUUCAAUUCACUCUUAUAUGAUCACAUGCUUAAUCUGUUAUAUGUAUUUGUUUAUAUAAUUAGCUCACCCUUGCUUGUUUGUGUUUGUGUUUGUUGCCUGC